Molecule: long non-coding RNA, 693 nt
Filed under: Mus spicilegus (steppe mouse)
Lineage: Eukaryota; Metazoa; Chordata; Mammalia; Rodentia; Muridae
Description: lncRNA (ENSMSIG00000002044.1)
Source: RNAcentral
GAAUAUUUUUCUUCUUUCUAGCACUUUUAAGUUUACACGAAGCUUGCACGCCUACUGCUACUGUAAGUGUCGUAAUCUGUCCAAUGAGACAAGAGCCUGACGAGAUUCUCUCACUGGUGUCUGAGGAGACUGAGGCUCAGUCAGGUUUGCCCACUCAGCGAGGCAGGGAAGGAGCGGAGCUAAGGGUUCACACCUGUCAUCUCUGCGUCAUCGUCCUGUUCACACUUCCUGCUCUAUCUUCCAGAAACCUCUUCUAUUUGAUAGCCACCUCAAUGAAGUCAGGCUUGGGCACACACAGCUGCUCUGACCACCAUCACCAUGUGUCUACCAUGCAUAACACACUCAGUAAUUGUUUACCAGAUGUAUAAGUACUAUUAGCAUGAAGCAGAGAGGAAAAGCAAGACUAAUGUGCCUCAUUUUCUCAUAAAAACUUUCUUCUGAGGAGACAAAGACAUUCUCUUCAUCCAGCAUGCAAAAAUGUUCUUUGCAAGUUUCUGUGGCAUUCUCUUGGCUAAUGAGAUUGGAAGAUUGUGCCCACUGCUAGAAGCAUAUCUUAGGCUUUAAGUCUUAUUCUGCAAAUGAGGACUAACAGGGGCUCUCAUGGUCCUUGCUUAAUAAGACAUCUUCUAACAUUUGUACCAGAACCACAGACAACGCUUAUACAAUAAAACCUUUCAUUUACUAGGUGUUGCA